UAUUUUUUAUUGUAUUUGCAUUUCAAGCAUUGGACACGCCUUACUAAUGCUUUGCUUUCGAACUUCGAGUAAAAUGUCUUAGUCGUAUAGCUAUUCGUGCUUUAAAAUGUUGAUGGCAUUUAUUUUUCUUUUGACGUGUACUGGGUUAGCCAUGGGUAAAAAAAACAUGGAGGAUGGCAAUAUGUUUGCGGAAAUAAGAGCACCUGCAAAUAUAACUCCUAAGAAUCCUUCAAAAAGUUUUGCAACUGCAGAGGAGCAGAUCGAAUUAAAGGAGACGUGUGGACGGAGAUCAAUAAGACAAUACUACAAAAAAAUAGCGAAGUUCUUUCCUAAUACAACUGCUACUAAAAACCCUCUCCCUAUAAAAAUAUCAGUGAAAACAACAAGAAUACCUAUAAAAGGUAAACAGAUUUCAUCUAUAGUAGUUCAAAUGUGUGAUCGCACAGUAAGAACACUCAUUGAAAACAUUUCUAGAAUAAAUAAUAAAAAGGAAGUGGUUGCACAGUGCAUUGAAAUGUACCCCGAAAAAAACCUACAGCUAAUAUUGGGCACAGGACUACAUUUUGGCUAUGGAUUUGGCUCCAAACCGAGAACAAUUGUUCUCCCAAUGAAGGAACUUCCGAAGAGUGUAUUUCUUACAGUUCAAACAGCAAUUGCACUUCGAUUUUGGCAUGAAAGAAUAACUGAAAGUGCCAGGUGUGGGAAAGAAAUAAAAAUAGAAGUUGAGAACAUAGAGGAGAAAAUUGAUAAUUUUAAAGUACUAGGAUGCGUAUGUAAAGUUUAAUAAAGAACCUUAUUCAAUGUAUUGAAAA
Molecule: long non-coding RNA, 812 nt
Organism: Scaptodrosophila lebanonensis
Lineage: Eukaryota; Metazoa; Arthropoda; Insecta; Diptera; Drosophilidae
Exons: 2
Source: RefSeq, a predicted model, not a curated record